RNAcentral lists this ribosomal RNA (742 nucleotides) under Ningbingia australis. Its description in RNAcentral is "partial 16S ribosomal RNA". Lineage: Eukaryota; Metazoa; Mollusca; Gastropoda; Stylommatophora; Camaenidae. The record is from RNAcentral.
CACGAAGUUAGUUGAGCUACGUAAAUAUAAAUAUUAGAUUAUAAAGUAUAUGGCAUAAUAUAAGUAAAUAUUUACUUAGGGGUGAUAGGCUUAUCAAAUCUAACUAUAUCUUGAUACUUUAGAAAAACAUUUAGUGUUAAUACAAUUAAGUAGUGAUAAGGCUACUUAUAAUUAUAAACUAUUAUUAAUAAUAAAAUCUUGAUUUAACUUUCUAGAUAAUUUUAGAAUAGCAUUUAUUUAUAUAUUUUAUAUAAACUAUAAGGUCUCAUAAAAUAACCAACAAUGUUAAUAAUGUAAUUAUUAGUAAAUAAGUUAUUGAAAAUGAACUCGGCAAUAUGUUUUUCAACUGUUUACCAAAAACAUAGCUACGUGUAGAUAUUCGUAGUAAUUUCUGCUCAAUGAAUAUUAAAUAGCCGCAGUACCUUGACUGUGCAAAGGUAGCGUAAUAAUUUGACUUUUAAAUGAAGUCCUGUAUGAAUGAAUACUUGAAGAGCAACUAUAUCUUUAAUAUUUUAUGAAAUUACCUUGUAAGUGCAAAACCUUACACAAAAAUGAUAGACGAGAAGACCCUAGAAAUUUUUAUAAUAAUGUAAAGUUUUUUUUUGUUGGGGCAACAAAGUAACAUUUAAUUUACUUUUACAACAAGAACAUUUUUGUGAAAGAAUAAAUUACUCUAGGGAUAACAGCGUAAUUAGUUUAAGGUUGCGACCUCGAUGUUGGACUAGGAAACUAUUGCUUAGAA